Molecule: long non-coding RNA, 2489 nt
Organism: Balaenoptera ricei (Rice's whale)
Lineage: Eukaryota; Metazoa; Chordata; Mammalia; Artiodactyla; Balaenopteridae
Exons: 3
Source: RefSeq, a predicted model, not a curated record
CCCCUGAGCUGACUCCCUUCUGGGCAGUGAGUUUCUCUCUGCUUAUGGUGCUCGGAAGACUCAGGCUAAACAGCGACCAACUUGCACCCCCUGGGCUCUGCAGUGAACUUCCUGAGCUUGCUGCGGAAGUCAGAGGUCUUUUCCCCAGGGCCCAGCCCCAUGCAUCUUACACACAUGUCACUUCUCUUGUUCAUCAUCACCACUGGGGAACCCCGCCGCCCCAAGGAGGGGUCAGAUCACAGAAGGAAGUUCAGACAGCCAGUCCCAAACCUGGCAUGCAAUGCAGCCCUGGGACCGGGAAGGGGAGUCUGAGGUGCCCAGCUCUCUACUCCCCUAGGGGGUAACCUUGACCUGGUGCCUUUCCUGGGCGUCUACAUCUUAGCCACCGAAUGGAGCACUGAGCCUGGACGCUCCUGUUGUCCAGGCCAGCAAAAGUCUUCCAUGUCAUGUCUUCCACGGACAUGAUCAUGUCAUUGGUGUUACCCACUUUUGACAGAGACCAAGCACUUGGUCUCCUUAAAGCGUACUGAUUUGCCUAACUACCUUGAGGUUUUGACAGCAUCUCUUAAAAGCAGCUCCCGGCCUUGGGCUGAGCUCCAGAUGUACUUAUAGGUACAACCUGAAUGUUCCUUCCUAUUAAAUUGAUAGCGAAAUUCCUCCCUUCUUUUCUCUUCACCUUUUUAUCCUGGUCCAACCUGCUGGGGCCCUGGCCAGUCCUGUCAACUUAUCAAAAAGCAGGUAUUGGAUUCUGCUGAUUUUUUUAGAAACCUCUCAGAAUUUAUUUUUCCCUUCAGCUGCUGAAGCCUCAACCCUGACUCAGAUUUGGCCCUGCUCAGAUGUUCACCACGGUACCCACAGCAACGAGCUCAAUGUGCAGCACACAGAACGUGCCCAUAGAAUUACCUGGCGGAGAUAACGGAGAGGAAGGGCCGCUUGUCCUUGGCAGAGGCCUGGGUAGUUUUGACUCCGUUGUCUAUGAUCAUGCCAGCCUGGGGAGAGGGGACAUUCAGGGACACAUGAGCUUGGACAGCAGAUUGCAGGCAUCUUCUCACACCCAGCCUCACUGCGUACUCUUGAAUACUCCAGUGAAACCAGCUUCGCUCUCAGGAUGCAUUAAUAGAAGUAGGGGGUCUGCAACGAGGGAGGUGAAGAACCUGCAUUGCUCUGCAUUGCUCAAGUCAAAUCUGGAAUAAGGUGUCCUCUCAGAGGUGCACACGAGGACCCUGAGGAAGGGAUCUCAACAAGCAGCACUGCCCCCUGCUCCCCACCGUCCCCAGAGCCUCUGCACCUGCUCUGCAUGGAGACGGCUCUCCCAGGCCCACGGCAGCCUCAGGACCCUCUGUUUCUUCAUCUGUACCACCAGGGAGUGGACCAGAACAACAGCCUUGACAUUCGGGCCUCUACCUGCACACUGCCCCUGCGUCCCCAAGACCAUCUCUGUCCCCAGCGUGGCGUCUCUGGUCUCAGCCUCGCUCCUCAGCUCCAUUCCCACGUGCCCACGACUCUGGUCUGGAUGCUGUCCUCAACUGGGGGCCCUUGACACGCUCGAGAGCCCGGUCCCUUUCCCCAGCACCUGGCUUGGUGCUGGACACACAGAACUACUGAUGAGCAAACGAAGAGGACAGAAAUUUCUGUUUUCCACCUGCCUCCUUGGCACUGCAUGGAUGGAGGACCCGCUUCCCAGAAAAAGAAAGCGGCCAGAGGAGAGGACGCUGAUGCUGCCUGCAUCUUCCUGCAGAGCCAGGUCCUGACCUUCCCCAGCUCACACAUCAGGCCUGGCUUUUCGGAGUCACCACCGCGCCCAUCCCCACCAAGUGAACCGCGAAAGCAAACUCAGGGGCCCGGCUCCAGGGCUGCCAGGGGGAGCUGUGGCUCUUCCGGCUCUAAUCAUGCGCAGGCCUGGGAAGGAGGACGAGUGGGCGGGCGGGGAGGCGUGGCCUGGAAGGACUUACCCGGUAGUUGGAGUGUGCUCGGUUGUUAAGGAAUUUCCCCAGUGGGAUGUGCUCUGAAUAACCUGGGGAGUACAUUCCGGCCGAGGGGCCCGUCGGUACGUGGUGGAAAAUGAACCAAAAUCCAGUUUCCUGGUGGAGGAGGACACGGGGGGAAAGCCACAGGAUUCAGCACCAGGGAGCUUCUUGUUGGGGUGACUGGAUGGCCCAAACUAGGGGUGGGCCUAGCGCUAUCACCCAAAUGGCCCCAACGCCCAUUCCCAAACACACCCGCGGAAACAGCGAGAAGUUUGAGGCGAAUAUAUUUUGGGGGGUGGGCGUCCAUCCUGACUGUUAAAACCCUUCUGUGGUCCUACUGUAUCAGUGGUCCUACUGUAUCAGCCAUGGGCGCCAAAUGGCUGGAUUUCAGAGUCACUGCCGGGGUUAAUCUCCCUCUCCUGACACAUAAUGGGAGGAUUUCCUGAGUGUUCCUGGCUUUACCCUUUCAUUCUGCAGCUAUGGAAGCUGAGGCCCAGAGAUGGCACCUGACCUGCUCCCAAG